UACGGAGGGUGCGAGCGUUGUCCGGAAUCACUGGGCGUAAAGGGCGCGUAGGCGGCGCGAGUAGUCAACGGUGAAAGCCCGGGGCUCAACCCCGGGUCGGCCGUCGAUACUCUCGUGCUUGAGCACUGUAGGGGCAGGUGGAAUUCCGGGUGUAGCGGUGGAAUGCGUAGAGAUCCGGAAGAACACCGGUGGCGAAGGCGGCCUGCUGGGCAGUAGCUGACGCUGAGGCGCGACAGCGUGGGGAGCAAACAGG
This 253-nucleotide ribosomal RNA is filed under the name uncultured bacterium. RNAcentral's name for it is "partial 16S ribosomal RNA". It matches the Rfam family "Bacterial small subunit ribosomal RNA", at positions 524 to 776 of the family's 1533-position model. The record is from RNAcentral.